This 253-nucleotide ribosomal RNA is filed under the name uncultured bacterium. RNAcentral's name for it is "partial 16S ribosomal RNA". It matches the Rfam family "Bacterial small subunit ribosomal RNA", at positions 524 to 776 of the family's 1533-position model. The record is from RNAcentral.
GACGAACCGUGCGAACGUUGUUCGGAAUCACUGGGCAUAAAGGGCGCGUAGGCGGCUUUUCAAGUCAGGGGUGAAAUCCGGCAGCUCAACUGUCGAAGUGCCUUUGAUACUGGGAAGCUCGAGGGAGGUAGGGGUCUGUGGAACUUCCGGUGGAGCGGUGAAAUGCGUAGAUAUCGCUUGGAACGCCGAAGGUGAAAACAGGUUGCUGGGGUUGUGCCGACGCUGAGACACGAAAGCCAGGGGAACAAACGGG